This is a regulatory RNA element of Firmicutes bacterium CAG:238, 116 nucleotides long. It matches the Rfam family "SAM riboswitch aptamer (S box leader)". From Rfam's summary of the family: The SAM riboswitch is found upstream of a number of genes which code for proteins involved in methionine or cysteine biosynthesis in Gram-positive bacteria. The SAM riboswitch acts at the level of transcription termination control. The record is from Rfam. NCBI's taxonomy places the organism in Bacteria, Bacillati, Bacillota.
UCCUUAUUAAGAGCGGCUGAGGGAAUAGGCCCGAUGAAGCCCGGCAACCUAGAUGUUUCAGGAGUGAAAUGACAAAGGUGCUAAAUCCUACAGAAUCUAAUUCUGAAAGAUGAGGA